RNAcentral lists this ribosomal RNA (406 nucleotides) under uncultured bacterium. RNAcentral describes it as "bacterial SSU rRNA". It matches the Rfam family "Bacterial small subunit ribosomal RNA", at positions 359 to 775 of the family's 1533-position model. The record is from RNAcentral.
GAAUAUUGCACAAUGGGCGCAAGCCUGAUGCAGCAACGCCGCGUGAGGGAUGAAUGCCUUCGGGUUGUAAACCUCUUUUAGUAAGGAAGAAGCCGCAAGGUGACGGUACUUGCAGAAAAAGCACCGGCUAACUACGUGCCAGCAGCCGCGGUAAUACGUAGGGUGCAAGCGUUGUCCGGAAUUAUUGGGCGUAAAGAGCUCGUAGGCGGUUUGUCGCGUCUGCUGUGAAAUCCCGGGGCUCAACCCCGGGCCUGCAGUGGGUACGGGCAGACUAGAGUGCGGUAGGGGAGAUUGGAAUUCCUGGUGUAGCGGUGGAAUGCGCAGAUAUCAGGAGGAACACCGAUGGCGAAGGCAGAUCUCUGGGCCGUUACUGACGCUGAGGAGCGAAAGCAUGGGGAGCGAACAG